RNAcentral lists this long non-coding RNA (212 nucleotides) under Carica papaya (papaya). RNAcentral describes it as "long non-coding RNA (CPAP_LNC005297)". The record is from RNAcentral. Lineage: Eukaryota; Viridiplantae; Streptophyta; Magnoliopsida; Brassicales; Caricaceae.
UGGGGUUGAGAGUCUUGUUGAGCUGGCGCUGGAUGUAGGAGUCGUAGGAAGUAUAUCCCGGUCGUAUCCGGAGAUCGUUGCCGGAGUCGGAAGGUGGUGGAAUGGUGGUGGGUGUGGGUUUUGAGGUUGGAAGGAGAAGAAGAAGAAGAGGAGAGGGAGGGAAAGAAAAAGAGAGAGAAGAAAGUAUUUGAGAAGCGGUGGGUUUGUUUUCA